RNAcentral lists this ribosomal RNA (374 nucleotides) under uncultured bacterium. RNAcentral's name for it is "bacterial SSU rRNA". It matches the Rfam family "Bacterial small subunit ribosomal RNA", at positions 524 to 898 of the family's 1533-position model. The record is from RNAcentral.
UACGUAGGGUGCGAGCGUUAAUCGGAAUUACUGGGCGUAAAGCGUGCGCAGGCGGUGCUGUAAGACAGGCGUGAAAUCCCCGGGCUCAACCUGGGAAUUGCGCUUGUGACUGCAGCGCUGGAGUGCGGCAGAGGGGGAUGGAAUUCCGCGUGUAGCAGUGAAAUGCGUAGAUAUGCGGAGGAACACCGAUGGCGAAGGCAAUCCCCUGGGCCUGCACUGACGCUCAUGCACGAAAGCGUGGGGAGCAAACAGGAUUAGAUACCCUGGUAGUCCACGCCCUAAACGAUGUCAACUGGUUGUUGGGAAUUUACUUUCUCAGUAACGAAGCUAACGCGUGAAGUUGACCGCCUGGGGAGUACGGCCGCAAGGUUGAA